RNAcentral lists this unclassified non-coding RNA (432 nucleotides) under soil metagenome. RNAcentral's name for it is "partial contains 5.8S ribosomal RNA, internal transcribed spacer 2, and large subunit ribosomal RNA". The stretch from base 1 to 120 matches the Rfam family "5.8S ribosomal RNA", at positions 35 to 154 of the family's 154-position model. The record is from RNAcentral.
GAUGAAGAACGUAGCGAAAUGCGAUACGUAAUGUGAAUUGCAGAAUUCAGUGAAUCAUCAAAUCUUUGAACGCAUAUUGCGCUCUCUGGUAUUCCGGAGAGCAUGCUUGUUUGAGUAUCAGUAAACACCUCAACUUCCAUAUCUUUUUUGAAAUGGGAGUUGGACUUGAGUGAUCCCAACGCUUUUCCUCACCGAAAAGUGGCGGGUUACUUGAAAUGCAGGUGCAGCUGGACUUUUCUCUGAGCUAUAAGCAUAUCUAUUUAGUCUGCCUAAAAAACAGAUUAUUACCUUUGCUGCAGCUAACAUAAAGGAGAUUAGUUCUUGUGCUGACUGAUGCAGGAUUCACAAAGACAGCUUCGGCCGACUUUGUAAACUCGAUCUCAAAUCAAGUAAGACUACCCGCUGAACUUAAGCAUAUCAAUAAGCGGAGGA